This is a long non-coding RNA of Platichthys flesus (European flounder), 2475 nucleotides long. RefSeq lists it as uncharacterized. The transcript is spliced from 2 exons. The record is from RefSeq and is a predicted model, not a curated record. Lineage: Eukaryota; Metazoa; Chordata; Actinopteri; Pleuronectiformes; Pleuronectidae.
GUGAACCAGGGCUGGGCUCUGUGCUUCGUCAGCAACCACUGCUGUAUCAACACACUGGUCCAGAUAUGUGGCAAAUAAAAAAAACACCUACACACACGGAUAUUCUAAUGUUUGUAUGCAAGGGAAUAAAAAGAUAACCAUGAACAGUAUCCCCGCACUACUUUAUACUCUCCAGGAGCAGGAGUCCAUGAGGUGGUCUUGCUUAAGCUGCGCACGUGUCUAAACAACUUCUCUAUUACACCCGAGACCUCUGAGGGCACUCCCCAUCGAGCGGGGAACAAAGGCCAUGACCCCUGGGUCAAAAGCGUUACACGGGAGGCCAAGCGGGCCCAUUGAAUUUUCCAUUGGUGUUUGCUUAAAGAAGGAUUCUGAAGAAAGAAGAGACGGACAAGAGCGAAGUAUAACUCCUCCUGAGAACAAGCGGGAAAUUAUAGACCACUUCCAUAUCACACCUAGGAGUGGACGACCUAUCCGAAGAGGGACGCACCCUGGCUGUACUUAACAACUGCUUCUGGCAGCUCCUCAACAGCCAAACAUAUUGUCCUUGAUCAGGGCAGCUUUCGUAUGACAACAUCCAAGCAGCUAUGGCAAGAAACCCAGACUAAAGAAGAUGAAUGAAAUCAAAAUGUUGAUACCAAUGCAUUAAAAUAAAAUGAUUGCAUGUACUUAUAUAUAUAUAUAUAUAUAUAUUUUUUUUUUUUAUUAUAUUUUUGGAUAUAAACUGAUCUCCCUUCAUUUUGCUCAUCAAACUUUAACAAAAUGUGGGAAAGAGAUUACAUUUGGAUUUUUGCACCAAAUCAGUUUUUCAAAUGAAACAUGUUUUGUGAAUGUUUCCACACAACAUUAGUCCUGUGAUAUUACAAGACCAAAUUAAAACACUGAUUCAAGUAGUAAAAACUCUGAAGUAGUUUUUUAGUCUUUAUAUUAAUAGUAUUAUAGCACUAAUAAGCACAAGAGUGUUAAUAAUGUAAAAAAUUCAAAUAAUAAUUAAAUUACCCAUUUUUAUAGCAUUACUCUUUACUCAUUGUAAUAUUCAAGUUAUUCUGGUAACUACAAGAGGCAUUUCAGUGAAAUAAAAAAAACAACCUUGUACUACUUGUUGAAUUAUAUUACUUAUUAACUUCUGUCACUUGUAUUAUUAUUAUGCGUUGAUAAUGGACCUGGGACAAAUUCUCAAAAAGAGUCAAAGAUGCAUUAAAAUAAAAACUUAACAUUCUCCUUUCCUUUCCAUGUGACCAUCCUGGGCCAGACUUGUUCAUACGUGAACUCUUGCUUUUCAGCAUCCCACUAAAGGCUGCUUCUACCCAUUUUAUUGUUGUGGCCAUCUUGUUUUAUUCCUCCUCUACAUUAAGCCAGGAGAGCACAGGCCUGGCAUUUUAGGGUCGGUGUCGAAACGCCCGUGUCUGCACCGCAGGGCUGCGCGGAGUCCAACAGUCGAGCCAUACGCACUCAGCGGCUCACUGCCUCGACAAACACUUUGUGCAUGCUGCUUUGUUUUCUCACACAUGCUCUCUAGAUUCCUUUCUCCCCUGAAAAACAGCAAAACAUGCAGCUUAUACACUUUAUUUAUUCCAUAAACAUGCUUUCCCUCUAGUGCCCGACCCGGAGAGCCACUGAGCCCUCAGCCCCCGAAUCACUUCACAGCACUUUGUCUCUUGUGAUCACCACAGAAAACUAAAAAGCUUUGAUCACACACAACAAGUGAGGCUGGAAAUACUAUGGCUACUCGUCCAAUUCCCACUUCACCGAUGCAAUUUAAUGAGCUUUAUAAUUGCUUCUAACUUAAUGCAUGGAUACAAAAUAUCUGUGGCAUCCCUUAAAAGAGGAACAGUACUUAUAUUGAUUUGAAAGUGACACGGAUAAAAACUCUGAUUACCUACAUUUUAAUUGGCUGACGGACUGUAAUUGAUCUGCAUAAUGUUAUUAGCAGAGGUAUAUUUAUCUAUGUGGGAGAGGAGCAGCGCUUCACAGGACAGCUGCGUAAACAGAGGGUUUAUUACUCCAUGGGUUAUUUCUGCCCAUUGAGUGGCUCCUUGCAAUUCAAGUAAAACAUAAUUUUUUUUGUGCAGCAAAAUAAUGUGUUGAAGACAAAUUUGAAAGAAAACAGACAGUGUCGACACUACAGGUCUAAAAAUGUACAUUGCACACAUUCCUUAUUCUCUCCUGUAUUUCACUGAGGUCUACCUGCCACCUGCCUGUUUGCUCUGUUUUGCUUUAUCAACUCUGUAAAAUGUGCAAUAACUUACACAAAUACAGUUUUACACUUGAUUCCUGUAUUUAAUAUUACAUUAUUGUAUUAGACUUUUAUAUUGAGAUAUGUAUUCAUGGAGCUCUUUUUACUGCAUUUUAUUAAAAUUUAAUUUCUAGUCUUGGUGCAUUGUCCAACACUAUAGAUAGAUAGAUUACUUUAUUCAUCUAUUCAUUAUACUGCUGACCCUGUGUAUAAGAUAAAUAAAACCUGACAUGUAACUAUGA